This is an RNA transcript of Pongo pygmaeus (Bornean orangutan), 2229 nucleotides long. It is a transcript of the gene named membrane-spanning 4-domains subfamily A member 8-like, with no coding region annotated. NCBI's taxonomy places the organism in Eukaryota, Metazoa, Chordata, Mammalia, Primates, Hominidae. The transcript has 15 exons. The record is from RefSeq and is a predicted model, not a curated record.
AACCCCGCGAGGCAGGGUGAGGGGCGCCACCGAGGAAGCGCCCAUUGGGCUCCCGGGGCUGCCAGGCCCCGAAUUGAGGAAGUUGACUGCCAGAUCACACUCUCUUGGCCCACGCUGCAAAACUCAAGGCACAAGAUACGCGAAAUGGGUAGAAAGGAUUCUGCAAGCAAUUAUUGUAUUCCGACAAUGUGCAAACUCAUUGCUAGAGCCAGAUACUGUGACACUGUGAGAUUUUGCAGCAGCGAUGAUGUAUAUGGGAAGACGCUUAAAAACCAUAAGAGAUAGAUUCCAUUCAUCCUUUCUAAUGUCUACACCAUAUUUUGGAUAACAUGCCAUCAUCUCACAUUGUGUUGAAAGAAGAAACCAGAAUGUUGGGGGCUGCUCAAAUAAUUAUUGGUCUGAUCCACUGUGCUCUGGGAAAAACCUGGAUACAUUUAUAUAUUAAUCAAUCUACUUCAUUUUCAACAAUCUACUUGCCUAUAGUCUUUAUGUCAGGAUUCCCAUUUUUGGCAUCCUCACUUUAUGUUAUAUCAGGAAUUUUUGCAAUAGCAGCAGAGAAGAAACGUUCACCAAGGUUGUUGAUGUAUGCCAUAUGGAUGAAUUUAAACAGUUUUGGCUGUGCAAUAAUUGGUUUACUUCUAAUUGCAUGUGAAAUUAUACUCUUUUUAACGAAAGAUGAAAAUAUUCAGUGGCCACAUAAAAGUGGAAUCAUGCUUUCAAUGUAUUUGUGGGUAUUCUCCACCUUGGAGUUGAUCUUGGCAAAUACAGUGACCAGAUGGAUAAAAAAAGCAAAUCAUCAUGACAACAAUACCACGUAAUGUACCCAGUAACAGAGGGAGCAAAGCAAAUCUUGUCCUCAAAGAACUGCAGCUGCUUGUUAGAUCUACCUGGUGGUUCCAUAGAGAAACUCCUCAGAGAACCUGCCUUUACCUCGCCUAAAAUAGAACUAUCCCGGAGCUCAGAAAAGGAGUCCACUCAUCCUCUAUAACUGCUAUACAAUAUCUUUGUUAAAAUGCCGAGAAGAUUUAUCCUAAAAGAAGGCACCAAAGCAAUGGGGGCUGUGCAAAUAAUGAUUGGCCUGAUUCACAGUGCACUGGGAACUCUCUGGAUUCAUUGGAUUUUGCUAAGAGAGGAUUCAAGUGGUUCUGGUCCUAUCCCUAUAAUUGCUGUAGUAAUUUACUCAUUUUUGUCGUCAUUUUUUGCACCUCCAAAAGGCACUUCAAGUUCGUUUUACCUUAAUUGCCACAACAACCCCAUGAGAUAGCUAUCGUUCAUCGCCAUUUGACAAACAGGGAAACUGAGGCUUGGAGAACUUAAGUGACUCUCACAGAGUGACACAGCAAUAAAGUGUCAGAGUUCAUCAACUCAGGAUCCAGUAGUGUAAUACAGAAGCCUGUUACAAGAUAUAAGCUUACUUUAGCAAUUGUAAUGAACAGCAUAACUAUUUGUGUGACUACACUUGGUAUAAUUCUAUUAAGCACUGAGAUUGCAACUUUUGCAUUAAAUGCAACUACAUACAAUUGGUCAAACAUGGUUGGUAUGCUGCUUUUACAAUAUUUACUAUUCUGCACCAUCUUAGAGAUGACCAUUGUAAUCAUAAUCAUCCAGUGGGUUACAAGAGCAUUUCAUCAUGAAAAACACACUGAAGAAAGCACUUCACCCUCAGAAAUCUCACUGUCAGAAUCCUUGGAAAUCACACCACGCACAACUUCUAUUUCUUCAUAAUUUGCAAAGAACCAGUGUGACUCCAGUCAAGAACAAAAGAUUAAUUGUGAAUUAGCAAAGAACUCUAAUUUUUUCAAGAGGCCACAUGGAAAACGCAUUCUAAUGAAGUCCUUUCCAUUGCUCUUUUUUCUUAGUUCUUCAAUAAAGCAUGAGAUUUGAUCACAAAUUGACUCUUCCCUUUUUAAAAGCCAGUAUGGGUUAACAUGGAUAAAUACAGCCCCUGCAAUCCCUGUGGUUGAGCGGAUGUAGGAGAGUAGUGUUGAAUGCCCACUUUAUCUUAGGUUGGAGGAGACUGGCUUGAAUUAAGGAACUCGUUCAUCCAAGAGGAGAAAAUACUCUGAUUUUGGAAGUUGGCAUAAUGUUCAUGUGAUAAUGUCAAUACUCUUGCUCUCUCUGUAUUUUUGUUUUCUCAUCUGUAAAACAGAAAUAAUAGUCUCUAACCCACAGAGUAGAUGGGAGGAUUAAAUGACAAUAUAUCAUUAAAAGAGCUUACAACAGCUCCUA